GACUAGUGGCGGACGGGUGAGUAACGCGUGGGAACGUGCCCCUUGGUACGGAAUAGCCCCGGGAAACUGGGAGUAAUACCGUAUGUGGUCGAGAGACGAAAGAUUUAUCGCCAAGGGAUCGGCCCGCGUUGGAUUAGGUAGUUGGUGGGGUAAUGGCCUACCAAGCCGACGAUCCAUAGCUGGUUUGAGAGGAUGAUCAGCCACACUGGGACUGAGACACGGCCCAGACUCC
Molecule: ribosomal RNA, 232 nt
Filed under: uncultured bacterium
Lineage: Bacteria
Description: partial 16S ribosomal RNA
Rfam family: Bacterial small subunit ribosomal RNA
Source: RNAcentral